This 364-nucleotide RNase P RNA is filed under the name Alphaproteobacteria bacterium. RNAcentral describes it as "RNase P RNA component class A". It matches the Rfam family "Bacterial RNase P class A". Rfam says of the family: Ribonuclease P (RNase P) is a ubiquitous endoribonuclease, found in archaea, bacteria and eukarya as well as chloroplasts and mitochondria. The record is from RNAcentral. Lineage: Bacteria; Pseudomonadati; Pseudomonadota; Alphaproteobacteria.
AUCGGAAGUCGGGCGAUCGCGUUUUUGUCUUUUGGCAAAACCGAGGAAAGUCCGGGCUCCACAGAAACAAGGAUGCCGGAUAACGUCCGGCGGGAGAAAUCCUAGGGAAAGUGCCACAGAAAAUAUACCGCCUCUUUAUAGGGGUAAGGGUGAAAUGGUGCGGUAAGAGCGCACCGCAUUGCUGGUAACAGGAAUGGCAGGGUAAACCCCAUCCGGAGCAAGACCAAAUAGGGAUAACAUUACGGUGUGUUUCUGCAUCGUUAUCCGGGUAGGUCGCUCGAGCCCUUCGGUAACAAAGGGCCUAGAUAAAUGAUCGCCCCUGAUUUUAUCAGGACAGAACCCGGCUUAUAGACUUCCGAUACUU